Molecule: ribosomal RNA, 258 nt
Filed under: uncultured bacterium
Lineage: Bacteria
Description: partial 16S ribosomal RNA
Rfam family: Bacterial small subunit ribosomal RNA
Source: RNAcentral
AAUCAUGGCUCAGGAUGAACGCUAGCUACAGGCUUAACACAUGCAAGUCGAGGGGCAUCAGGGUGUAGCAAUACACCGCUGGCGACCGGCGCACGGGUGAGUAACACGUAUCCAACCUGCCCUUUACUCGGGGAUAGCCUUUCGAAAGAAAGAUUAAUACCCGAUGGUAUAACAUGACCUCCUGGUUUUGUUAUUAAAGAAUUUCGGUAGAGGAUGGGGAUGCGUUCCAUUAGGCAGUUGGCGGGGUAACGGCCCACC